Molecule: ribosomal RNA, 253 nt
Filed under: uncultured bacterium
Lineage: Bacteria
Description: partial 16S ribosomal RNA
Rfam family: Bacterial small subunit ribosomal RNA
Source: RNAcentral
UACGAAGGGGGGCUAGCGUUGCUCGGAAUCACUGGGCGUAAAGCGCACGUAGGCGGAUCCUUAAGUCGGGGGUGAAAUCCUGGAGCUCAACUCCAGAACUGCCUCCGAUACUGGGAAUCUCGAGUCCGGAAGAGGUGAGUGGAACUGCGAGUGUAGAGGUGAAAUUCGUAGAUAUUCGCAAGAACACCAGUGGCGAAGGCGGCUCACUGGUCCGGUACUGACGCUGAGGUGCGAAAGCGUGGGGAGCAACAGG